UUUUUAGUGUAAGUAUGUCCCGUGCAAUAGCUGAGACGUACUUAUACUAAAA
Molecule: microRNA precursor, 52 nt
Filed under: Pteropus alecto (black flying fox)
Lineage: Eukaryota; Metazoa; Chordata; Mammalia; Chiroptera; Pteropodidae
Description: mir-1302 microRNA precursor family
Rfam family: mir-1302 microRNA precursor family
Source: Rfam by way of RNAcentral